GAGCUGUGGAUAGGGGUGAAAGGCUAAACAAACUUGGAAAUAGCUGGUUCUCUCCGAAAACUAUUUAGGUAGUGCCUCGUGUCUCACCUUCGGGGGUAGAGCACUGUCAUGGUUGGGGGGUCUAUUGCUGAUUACCCCGCCAUAGCAAACUCCGAAUACCGAAGAGUGCAAUCACGGGAGACAGACAUCGGGUGCUAACGUCCGGUGUCAAGAGGGAAACAACCCAGACCGCCAGCUAAGGUCCCUAAGAUUGGCUAAGUGGGAAACGAAGUGGGAAGGCUAAAACAGUCAGGAGGUUGGCUUAGAAGCAGCCACCCUUUAAAGAAAGCGUAAUAGCUCACUGAUCGAGUCGUCCUGCGCGGAAGAUGUAACGGGGCUAAGCCAGUCACCGAAGCUGCGGAUGCACGUAAGUGCAUGGUAGGAGAGCGUUCUGUAAGCCUGUGAAGGUGUCUUGUAAAGGAUGCUGGAGGUAUCAGAAGUGCGAAUGCUGACAUGAGUAGCGAUAAAGGGGGUGAAAGGCCCCCUCGCCGUAAGCCCAAGGUUUCCUACGCAACGUUCAUCGGCGUAGGGUGAGUCGGCCCCUAAGGCGAGGCAGAGAUGCGUAGCUGAUGGGAAGCAGGUUAAUAUUCCUGCACCGUCGUAUGAUGCGAUGGGGGGACGGAUCGCGGAAGGUUGUCCGGGUGUUGGAAGUCCCGGUCCCUACAUUGGAGAUGGCACUUAGGCAAAUCCGGGUGCGUGAUUCAAGGGUGUGGGGCGAGCGACGUUAGGUCGCGAAGCAAUUGGAAGUGGUUCCAAGAAAAGCCUCUAAGCUUCAGUCAUACGAGACCGUACCGCAAACCGACACAGGUGGGCGAGAUGAGUAUUCUAAGGCGCUUGAGAGAACUCGGGAGAAGGAACUCGGCAAAUUGGUACCGUAACUUCGGGAUAAGGUACGCCCUUGUAGUUUGACUGGCUCGCGCCAGAAGGAUGAAGGGGUUGCAAUAAAAUGGUGGCUGCGACUGUUUAAUAAAAACACAGCACUCUGCAAACACGAAAGUGGACGUAUAGGGUGUGACGCCUGCCCGGUGCCGGAAGAUUAAAUGAUGGGGUGCAAGCUCUUGAUUGAAGUCCCGGUAAACGGCGGCCGUAACUAUAACGGUCCUAAGGUAGCGAAAUUCCUUGUCGGGUAAGUUCCGACCUGCACGAAUGGCGUAACGAUGGCCACACUGUCUCCUCCCGAGACUCAGCGAAGUUGAAGUGUUUGUGAUGAUGCAAUCUCCCCGCGGCUAGACGGAAAGACCCCAUGAACCUUUACUGUAGCUUUGCAUUGGACUUUGAACCGAUCUGUGUAGGAUAGGUGGGAGGCUUUGAAACCGGGACGCUAGUUUCGGUGGAGCCGACCUUGAAAUACCACCCUGGUUUGUUUGAGGUUCUAACCUUGGCCCGUGAAUCCGGGUCGGGGACAGUGCAUGGUAGGCAGUUUGACUGGGGCGGUCUCCUCCCAAAGUGUAACGGAGGAGUUCGAAGGUACGCUUGGUACGGUCGGACAUCGUACCUAAAGUGCAAUGGCAAAAGCGUGCUUAACUGCGAGACCGACAAGUCGAGCAGGUGCGAAAGCAGGACAUAGUGAUCCGGUGGUUCUGUAUGGAAGGGCCAUCGCUCAACGGAUAAAAGGUACUCUGGGGAUAACAGGCUGAUACCGCCCAAGAGUUCAUAUCGACGGCGGUGUUUGGCACCUCGAUGUCGGCUCAUCUCAUCCUGGGGCUGUAGCCGGUCCCAAGGGUAUGGCUGUUCGCCAUUUAAAGAGGUACGUGAGCUGGGUUUAAAACGUCGUGAGACAGUUUGGUCCCUAUCUGCCGUGGGCGUUGGAAUCUUGACGGGGGCUGCUCCUAGUACGAGAGGACCGGAGUGGACGUACCGCUGGUGUACCUGUUGUCUCGCCAGAGGCAUCGCAGGGUAGCUAUGUACGGAAGAGAUAACCGCUGAAAGCAUCUAAGCGGGAAACUCGCCUGAAGAUGAGGAUUCCCUGGAGACUUGAUCUCCCUGAAGGGUCGUUCGAGACCAGGACGUUGAUAGGCUGGGUGUGGAAGCGCAGUAAUG
This 2079-nucleotide ribosomal RNA is filed under the name Ralstonia pseudosolanacearum. Its description in RNAcentral is "bacterial LSU rRNA". It matches the Rfam family "Bacterial large subunit ribosomal RNA", at positions 806 to 2883 of the family's 2925-position model. Lineage: Bacteria; Pseudomonadati; Pseudomonadota; Betaproteobacteria; Burkholderiales; Burkholderiaceae. The record is from RNAcentral.